Molecule: ribosomal RNA, 308 nt
Filed under: uncultured bacterium
Lineage: Bacteria
Description: bacterial SSU rRNA
Rfam family: Bacterial small subunit ribosomal RNA
Source: RNAcentral
AAUAUCCAUCUCGUAUGGAUUAAAGCUUUUAUGCGCUUUUGGGGAGGGGCCUGCGUAACAUUAGCUUGUUGGUGAGGUAAAAGCUCACCAAGGCUUCGAUGUUUAACUGGUUUGAGAGGAUGACCAGUCACACUGGGACUGAGAUACGGCCCAGACUCCUACGGGAGGCAGCAGUAAGGAAUCUUCCACAAUGGGGCAACCCUGAUGAAGCAAUACCGCGUGCAGGAUGAAGCGUUUCGGCGUGUAAACUGCUUUUAUCACCGAAGAUUAUGACUGUAGGUGAAGAAUAAGGACCGGCUAACUACGUG